GACGAACGCGGCGGCGUGCCUAAUACAUGCAAGUAGAACGCUGAAGGAGGAGCUUGCUUCUCCGGAUGAGUUGCGAACGGGUGAGUAACGCGUAGGUAACCUGCCUGGUAGCGGGGGAUAACUAUUGGAAACGAUAGCUAAUACCGCAUAACAGUAGAUGUUGCAUGACAUUUGCUUAAAAGGUGCAAUUGCAUCACUACCAGAUGGACCUGCGUUGUAUUAGCUAGUUGGUGGGGUAACGGCUCACCAAGGCGACGAUACAUAGCCGACCUGAGAGGGUGAUCGGCCACACUGGGACUGAGACACGGCCCAGACUCCUACGGGAGGCAGCAGUAGGGAAUCUUCGGCAAUGGACGGAAGUCUGACCGAGCAACGCCGCGUGAGUGAAGAAGGUUUUCGGAUCGUAAAGCUCUGUUGUAAGAGAAGAAACGAGUGUGAGAAGUGGAAAGUUUCAACAACU
RNAcentral lists this ribosomal RNA (460 nucleotides) under Streptococcus mitis. RNAcentral describes it as "bacterial SSU rRNA". It matches the Rfam family "Bacterial small subunit ribosomal RNA", at positions 28 to 477 of the family's 1533-position model. The record is from RNAcentral. Lineage: Bacteria; Bacillati; Bacillota; Bacilli; Lactobacillales; Streptococcaceae.